CCUACGGGGUGCAGCAGUGGGGAAUAUUGGACAAUGGGCGAAAGCCUGAUCCAGCCAUGCCGCGUGUGUGAAGAAGGCCUUCGGGUUGUAAAGCACUUUCAGUGGGGAAGAAAGCCUUGGGGCUAAUACCCUAGGAAGGACAUCACCCACAGAAGAAGCACCGGCUAACUCCGUGCCAGCAGCCGCGGUAAUACGGAGGGUGCGAGCGUUAAUCGGAAUUACUGGGCGUAAAGCGCGCGUAGGCGGUCUGAUAAGCCGGUUGUGAAAGCCCCGGGCUCAACCUGGGAACGGCAUCCGGAACUGUCAGGCUAGAGUGCAGGAGAGGAAGGUAGAAUUCCCGGUGUAGCGGUGAAAUGCGUAGAGAUCGGGAGGAAUACCAGUGGCGAAGGCGGCCUUCUGGACUGACACUGACGCUGAGGUGCGAAAGCGUGGGUAGCAAACAGGAUUAGAUACCCCAGUAGUC
Molecule: ribosomal RNA, 463 nt
Filed under: Vreelandella stevensii
Lineage: Bacteria; Pseudomonadati; Pseudomonadota; Gammaproteobacteria; Oceanospirillales; Halomonadaceae
Description: partial 16S ribosomal RNA
Rfam family: Bacterial small subunit ribosomal RNA
Source: RNAcentral